UCAGAACUACGCAAUAAUAUUCGCAGGCUGCAGUGAUUGCCCAGGGGCCAUUCGUCCUGCCAUGCCACUACGUACAAAUUCAGUAGAAAAGGCAGUAUCUAUUAAUUGUUCAUAUCAUUAUUGCCUCACAGCAAAAAGUAAAGAAAAUAUAAAGAAAGUAGGUAAAAAGGCUGGAUAAAAAACAUUCUGAUCAUAAAAGAGAUGUCAAAAUAUGAAGGAAAUAUUUAGAGACAUAGAAGGUAGCCUACAUGGAUCACAGCGAACCGGGAAAACAAAAAUUUCACAGUGAAACAACCAAAACAUAAGGAAAGGAGAAAAAUAUAAAAUAGUUAGAGCCCAAGAAGACCGCAUGCGGUGAAGUCAAUUCAAAAAACUGAAUUCCCUACGGUUGUCGCUCUGCACCUCUUUGUUUCUGAGACGGAUUGUAUGCACCAAUCUACGACGAUUCUGGCAAUUUAAUGCCGCCGCAAAACCCAACUCCC
RNAcentral lists this long non-coding RNA (482 nucleotides) under Ananas comosus (pineapple). RNAcentral's name for it is "long non-coding RNA (ACOM_LNC043152)". Lineage: Eukaryota; Viridiplantae; Streptophyta; Magnoliopsida; Poales; Bromeliaceae. The record is from RNAcentral.